This 274-nucleotide ribosomal RNA is filed under the name uncultured bacterium. Its description in RNAcentral is "partial 16S ribosomal RNA". It matches the Rfam family "Bacterial small subunit ribosomal RNA", at positions 523 to 796 of the family's 1533-position model. The record is from RNAcentral.
AUACGGAGGGUGCGAGCGUUAAUCGGAAUUACUGGGCGUAAAGCGCGCGUAGGCGGCUUUGUAAGUCGGAUGUGAAAGCCCUGGGCUCAACCUGGGAAUGGCAUUCGAUACUGCAGAGCUAGAGUAUGGUAGAGGGAAGUGGAAUUUCCGGUGUAGCGGUGAAAUGCGUAGAUAUCGGAAGGAACACCAGUGGCGAAGGCGACUUCCUGGGCCAAUGCUGACGCUGAGGUGCGAAAGCGUGGGGAGCAAACAGGAGUAGAUACCCGUGUAGUCC